UACGGAGGGGACUAGCGUUGUUCGGAAUUACUGGGCGUAAAGCGCACGUAGGCGGAUUUGUAAGUCAGGGGUGAAAUCCCGAGGCUCAACCUCGGAACUGCCUUCGAUACUGGCGAUCUUCGAGUCCGGGAGAGGUGAGUGGAACUCCGAGUGUAGAGGUGAAAUUCGUAGAUAUUCGGAAGAACACCAGUGGCGAAGGCGGCUCACUGGCCCGGUACUGACGCUGAAAUACGAAAGCGUGGGGAGCAAACAGG
This 254-nucleotide ribosomal RNA is filed under the name uncultured bacterium. RNAcentral describes it as "partial 16S ribosomal RNA". It matches the Rfam family "Bacterial small subunit ribosomal RNA", at positions 524 to 776 of the family's 1533-position model. The record is from RNAcentral.